This 341-nucleotide ribosomal RNA is filed under the name Salmonella enterica. RNAcentral describes it as "partial 23S ribosomal RNA". It matches the Rfam family "Bacterial large subunit ribosomal RNA", at positions 1 to 369 of the family's 2925-position model. RNAcentral also lists the same sequence under 4 other names. Lineage: Bacteria; Pseudomonadati; Pseudomonadota; Gammaproteobacteria; Enterobacterales; Enterobacteriaceae. The record is from RNAcentral.
GGGUUGUGAGGUUAAGCGACUAAGCGUACACGGUGGAUGCCCUGGCAGUCAGAGGCGAUGAAGGGCGUGCUAAUCUGCGAUAAGCGCCGGUAAGGUGAUAUGAACCGUUAUAACCGGCGAUACCCGAAUGGGGAAACCCAGUGUGAUUCGUCACACUAUCAUUAACUGAAUCCAUAGGUUAAUGAGGCGAACCGGGGGAACUGAAACAUCUAAGUACCCCGAGGAAAAGAAAUCAACCGAGAUUCCCCCAGUAGCGGCGAGCGAACGGGGAGGAGCCCAGAGCCUGAAUCAGCAUGUGUGUUAGUGGAAGCGUCUGGAAAGGCGCGCGAUACAGGGUGACA